UAACUGCCGCCUUUAACAUUCGAAAGGAAGGGUUUUCCGCCAUUAACCUCACAUCACCUCUCUCCUCGUUCCUUGUUCUUUCAAUUUUUGAUGAUUUGAUGAACAUGGAUUCAUCCACUUGCCCCUUCUGUCAUUUAUCUGUUCCUUCCUCUGAACUCCAAUGGCACGCCAACGCCCAUUUCGACGACAACAACACCGAUUAUAGCUCCCCUUCGGCUAGUAGCUUGCAUUUUUAUGGUGGAGUAAGGGGUAGGGAUAAUGCGGUGUUGAAAAUGGAUGAAAAGAUCUCUUGCUUAGUUGAUGUGCAAAGAAGGGGAGAGUUUUACAAGGUUGAAAGAGGUUUGAUGACCUUGUUGAGAGACUGUUUGGAGUCUGAGGCUGAAAACACAAGAAGCAUUUUGACAUGUUAUGUUGAUCAUUUCCAGAGCCUUGAGUUUAAGGAUGUUGGAUGGGGCUGUGGAUGGCGUAACAUUCAAAUGCUUAGCUCUCACUUAAUGACACAAAGGCCAGCAGCAAGAGAAGCUAUGUUUGGCCGUUCAGGGUUUGUUCCUGAUAUCCCAUCACUCCAGAGGUGGCUUGAGAUUGCUUGGGAAAGGGGUUUUGAUGCACCUGGCGCUGAACAGUUUAACCAUGUUAUCUAUGGCUCAAAAAAAUGGAUUGGAGCUACUGAAUGUGCUGCCCUUUUGCGUUCCUUUGGUCUCCGGGUGAGGGUAGUGGAUUUUGGACCUAAGAAAUCUGAGGAACUCUAUCUAUCUGUCCCUGGUUCAAGUGUUGGGGAAAAGGAUCUUGUGAAAAGUAAUUAUGGAAGGAAGAGGAAAGCACCAAAUACUUAUGGACCAAUGGAUAGAUAUCUGUCUCGUGGUGUUGCUCAAACAAGUUGCAACCAAAAUGCAAAGUCAGGCCCUUCUCUUGUCCAUGUUGGUGACGCUGUGGAUAAAGAAGGUAGUGGUAAUAGAGGGCUAUACAACACUGAGAAACUAAAUGAGGGUCACCAAGUUCUUAUGGACUUUGUGUGGAAUUACUUCUCCCAUAAAAGCACUGUUCAAUUUGAUCACAAGCGUGUUCUUAUCAGUGAGAAAACGCCACUGUACUUUCAGCAUGAUGGACAUUCAAGAACAAUAGUUGGAAUUCAAGUCAAACAUCAACGGUCUGGAAUUCCACAAUAUAAUCUCCUGGUUCUAGAUCCCGGUCAUAGAACUGGUGCUCUAGAAAGAUCUCUUAUAGAGAAAGUUGGAUGGCAGAAACUCAUAAAAAGAGGAGUGCACACACUAAAGAAGCCACAAUACCAGUUGUGUUAUGUUGAUCCUGGAAUUGCCAGUAAGGAGGAGAUGGAGAAACUCAAGACAAUUGAUAGCGUCUUCAUUGAAUUUUAAAGAACCAUACAAAGGACCUUGCUACAUCAAGAUGAAACACAUCAAAUUUGAGUUUUAGACGGCUGUAAUUGCAGUGGGAUUAAAAACAGAAACUUGAACAUGGUAUUUGCCAGGACCUGUUAAUGAUGGAACCAGAAUCGGAGCAAUUAAAGGAAGCAACUGCUUCUACAUUUGGUCAUGGUCUUCACCAUUUUCAUACACAAAAUUCUGAUAAUAUUGUGAUUAUUCAUUUACUUUGGUGUAUAUAGUUUUUUCCCUUUUAUUCAAAAAAGUAUAGGCUCUCAUCUGUAAGAUUUUUCUGAGUUAUUGUGAUUUUUCAGGCUUUUAUUUA
Molecule: RNA transcript, 1704 nt
Organism: Vigna unguiculata (cowpea)
Lineage: Eukaryota; Viridiplantae; Streptophyta; Magnoliopsida; Fabales; Fabaceae
Source: RefSeq, a predicted model, not a curated record